UUGUAAAGCACUUUAAGCGAGGAGGAGGCUACCUAGAUUAAUACUUUAGGAUAGUGGACGUUACUCGCAGAAUAAGCACCGGCUAACUCUGUGCCAGCAGCCGCGGUAAUACAGAGGGUGCGAGCGUUAAUCGGAUUUACUGGGCGUAAAGCGUGCGUAGGCGGCCAAUUAAGUCAAAUGUGAAAUCCCCGAGCUUAACUUGGGAAUUGCAUUCGAUACUGGUUGGCUAGAGUAUGGGAGAGGAUGGUAGAAUUCCAGGUGUAGCGGUGAAAUGCGUAGAGAUCUGGAGGAAUACCGAUGGCGAAGGCAGCCAUCUGGCCUAAUACUGACGCUGAGGUACGAAAGCAUGGGGAGCAAACAGGAUUAGAUACCCUGGUAGUCCAUGCCGUAAACGAUGUCUACUAGCCGUUGGGGCCCUUGAGGCUUUAGUGGCGCAGCUAACGCGAUAAGUAGACCGCCUGGGGAGUACGGUCGCAAGACUAAAACUCAAAUGAAUUGACGGGGGCCCGCACAAG
This 515-nucleotide ribosomal RNA is filed under the name uncultured bacterium. RNAcentral's name for it is "bacterial SSU rRNA". It matches the Rfam family "Bacterial small subunit ribosomal RNA", at positions 423 to 929 of the family's 1533-position model. The record is from RNAcentral.